CCUACGGGAGGCAGUAGUGGGGGAUAUUGCACAAUGGGGGGAACCCUGAUGCAGCGACGCCGCGUGGGUGAAGAAGCGCCUCGGCGCGUAAAGCCCUGUCAGCAGGGAAGAAAAUGACGGUACCUGAAGAAGAAGCCCCGGCUAACUACGUGCCAGCAGCCGCGGUAAUACGUAGGGGGCAAGCGUUAUCCGGAUUUACUGGGUGGAAAGGGGGCGCAGUCGGCGAUGCAAGCCAGGAGUGAAAGCCCGGGGCCCAACCCCGGGACUGCACUUGGAACUGCGUGGCUGGAGUGCAGGAGGGGCAGGCGGAAUGCCGGGUGUAGCGGUGAAAUGCGUAGAUAUCAGGAAGAACACCGGUGGCGAAGGCGGCCUGCUGGACUGCAACUGACGUUGAGGCCCGAAAGCGUGGGGAGCAAACAGGAUUAGAUACCCCAGUAGUC
Molecule: ribosomal RNA, 440 nt
Filed under: uncultured bacterium
Lineage: Bacteria
Description: partial 16S ribosomal RNA
Rfam family: Bacterial small subunit ribosomal RNA
Source: RNAcentral